AGAAUCGACUGAACGAAAAGUCUAUGAAGAAUCGCCGUAAUAAUAAUAAUACCGGUGGAAAGCGAGCAAGCCUACGGCGUGUGAAGUGAAUACCAUUACCCGGGCAGUCAGCGUGAUGGAGUCAAGACAAUUUGAACUAGGUUUUAUUUUGGUUACAGUGUUUGUUUUGGGUGUGUGUCAAGGCGGGGAAACCGAGGAAUGUCCCAAGAACAGUGCGGAUCAAGUUAAGCAAUGUUUGAGUGAAACGAAUUUAGGUAUAACAGAUGGUAAACCACAUGCCCUAGCUCUAGAUGCUGAAGUUACAAUGGAUUUGUGCAGUACUGGGAAGUUACAGAGAGCUGUAGACUGUAUGGGUAAAAUUUAUAAAGCUUGUGCCAAUGACAUGGAAGCCAUGAAUGUACUAAGUAUGGAAGCAAGUGUGCCUGAUUGGAAAGCGGCCUCCAAAAAACUGUGUGAUAAUGUAAAUGUUAUUAAGGAGAGUGGGGAAUGUUUAAAUAAAGAUCAAGAAGCGACCAGGCUUUGUGUAUCCACCCAAAAAACAGCCUUUGAAGGAGAAAUGAACGCCAAGGUGUUGACGUCACAUAAUGAUAUGAACGCCUUAAUGGGCGUGGCAUGCUCAUAUAGCACCAAUAUAAUGAAAUGUAUCAAGAAGCCAUUGGUGAAGAACUGUCCAGACAAUCUCAAAUCGCUCGUCCUGGAUGUCUUCCGAUUACUACUACCUCCACCAUGUAAACCGGCACCGGACUCAGGAUCAACGGAUGUUGCCGGUUACGACACUGUCUCCGACGACAAAAGCAAACCAAAGAAUGUAGGAUCAAGUGUGACAUCUCGUACAACUUUAAUUGUCCUUGUAUCUAGUUUUAUUUUGUUUAAAUUGUGGUAAAUCGUGU
Long non-coding RNA from Patella vulgata (common limpet), 890 nucleotides. RefSeq lists it as uncharacterized. Lineage: Eukaryota; Metazoa; Mollusca; Gastropoda; Patellidae. The transcript has 5 exons. The record is from RefSeq and is a predicted model, not a curated record.